Molecule: unclassified non-coding RNA, 240 nt
Filed under: soil metagenome
Description: partial contains 5.8S ribosomal RNA, internal transcribed spacer 2, and large subunit ribosomal RNA
Source: RNAcentral
AACCUAGCACACCUGCGGUGUGUACCUGCGGAGGGAUCAUUACCGAGUUUACAAACUCCCAACCCUUUGUGAACCUUACCGUAUUGUUGCUUCGGCGGGACCGCCCCGGCGCCUCCGGGCCCGGAACCAGGCGCCCGCCGGAGGCCCCAAACUCUUAUGUCUUUAGUGGUUUUCUCCUCUGAGUGACACAUAAACAAAUAAAUAAAAACUUUCAACAACGGAUCUCAGAUCGGAAGAGCA